AGUCCCCUGGGCUUCCUGCAGGGACCUGGAUUCUUAGUAUUUCAGGCUGCUGUCCCUUUUUUUUUUUCAUUUCCUUUUUGUUUUUGUUGUUGAUGUGACCGCGUGUCCACAACCCUGGGAUUCCCUCGCCCUCAGAUUCCAGAAUCCAAUUUCUUGGAUUUCAGUGUUUUUAAGGAUUCCGUGAGUCAGGAGCUUGGCCAGGCUCAGCUGGGACACUCAUCUUUGCUUCACCUCAUGUCAGCUGCAGCAUCUUAGGAAUGCAAGACAGCCUCAUUCACAUCCGGCGGCGGGUGCUGGCUGUCCACUGGGUGCCUUCGCUCUUUUUCAAGUGGUUUCUCAUCCUCUGGGGUUUCACUGUCUCCAUGUGGCCUCCCUAGCAAGUUGCUUAGAUUUCUUUACGUGGAAACUGGCUUUCUAGAGGGUAAAAAUGGAAGCUGCAAGGACUCUUAUGGCCCAGAAGUCCCAGAACGUCACUUCUUCCACAAGUCAUAGGGCCAGCCAAGAUUCAAGGGGAAGGAAACAGACUCUGUCUCUUCAUAUUUCAAUGGGACAAAUUGUUGCAGCCACCUUUGGAAACAAUCUACUGCAAUACACUACAGCAGUGGACAUCUGGGCCCUUACCAGGUGCCAGACGCCGUACUAACAGCUUUAUACGGAUGAACUCAUUUAAUCCUCCCAAACUCCAUGAGGUUUUGCAGCCCUUGCCAUGAGUGGCCAGUUGCUGAUAGCAUUGCUGCUGCCUGUUGCUAUUCUGGGAUAGGAACUGAGGAUGUGCUGUGAUUACCCAGACCAGAAGGAAGCUCAGAAGGCACUGGUCCUCUCAGGUGGCACCCAGAUCCAGUGUGAGCCAUGGGGGAUGAAGGGUGGUUAAGUGAAAAGCUUUGGAGUGCUGACAGGUGGUCCCCCUGAUAUGCCAGGAAAUUACUUCCGGGCAAGAGAAACAAAGGAGAGUCCAUCUUCUAAUGUUACUGGCGCCAUACCAACAAGGUGUCAGCUAGAAACCUCUCUCUCUCUCUUGCAAAUUCUAGCCUGCAAAACCUGAGGACUGGCCUCAGGCUAGUCAGAAAUUUGCCUGAAAACAUCAUUCCUUGGGGUGGUGGGACUUCUGGGUAAGCCAGUGUGACUUGAAUUCUUGAUUUCUUAUACUCCCUUCUAACCAACCACCUGAAUGCUGAUCUCUACUAGCUGUCUGUGUGCCUUGCAUUUCAAUCAGCAGCCUUACAAAUGAUGAUGAGGAGAAGGAGGAGGAUGAGGACGAUAGCCAACAUUUACUGUUCUUUUGCUACUGUCCUAAGUACUUUACAAAUACCAGAUAAUUUUUUCUUCAUAACACUGUCAUUACUCCCAUUUUACAGAUGAAGAAAACAAAGCUUAAAUAGAUCACAUGAUUUGGUCAAGGUCACUCAUGUCACAGAGCCUGAAUCCAAAUCCAGUGAAGCCUCCAGAGCCUAGUUUCUACCCAUGACCCUGUGUUGCCUAUUGAUGGUACAGUGUAGGUUUUUUCCUUCUUCCUUUUUCUUUUUUUGAAAGUCUUUAUUGAAUUAUAAUUGGCAUACCAUUAACUGCAAAUAUUUGAAAAAUACAAUUUUAUGAGCUCUGACAUACAUACACCCAUAAAACCAUUGUUACAAUCAAGAUAAUGAAUAUGUCCGUCAUUCCCCAAAAGCUUCCCUGUGCCCCUUGGUAAUCCACCCCUCACUCCCCACCCCAUUCUGUUCCUAGGCAACCAAUCAUCUGUUUUCUGUCAGAUUAAUUUGCAUUUUCUAGAGUUUUAUAUAUGGAAGCAGACAGCAUGUACUCUUUUUUUGUCUGGCUUCUUUCACUCAGCAUAAUUAUUUUUAGGUUCAUCUAUAUUGGUGCACGUAUCAACAAUUCAUUCUUUUCUAUUCCUGAGUACUAUUCCAUUAUAUAGGUGUACUAAAUUUGUUUAUUCAACUCUUGAUGGACAUUGAGUUGUUUACAGUUUUUGGCUAUUACAAAUAAAGCUGCUAUGAACCUUC
This 2000-nucleotide long non-coding RNA is filed under the name Homo sapiens (human). Its description in RNAcentral is "non-protein coding lnc-CALM2-2:7". The record is from RNAcentral. Lineage: Eukaryota; Metazoa; Chordata; Mammalia; Primates; Hominidae.